GAUGAAGAACGUAGCGAAAUGCGAUAAGUAGUGUGAAUUGCAGAAUUCAGUGAAUCAUCGAAUCUUUGAACGCACAUUGCGCCCGCCAGUAUUCUGGCGGGCAUGCCUGUUCGAGCGUCAUUUCAACCCUCAAGCUCAGCUUGGUGUUGGGACUCGCGGUAACCCGCGUUCCCCAAAUCGAUUGGCGGUCACGUCGAGCUUCCAUAGCGUAGUAAUCAUACACCUCGUUACUGGUAAUCGUCGCGGCCACGCCGUAAAACCCCAACUUCUGAAUGUUGACCUCGGAUCAGGUAGGAAUACCCGCUGAACUUAAGCAUAUCAAAAGCGAGGA
This 331-nucleotide unclassified non-coding RNA is filed under the name soil metagenome. RNAcentral's name for it is "partial contains 5.8S ribosomal RNA, internal transcribed spacer 2, and large subunit ribosomal RNA". The stretch from base 1 to 120 matches the Rfam family "5.8S ribosomal RNA", at positions 35 to 154 of the family's 154-position model. The record is from RNAcentral.